Long non-coding RNA from Octopus sinensis (East Asian common octopus), 264 nucleotides. RefSeq lists it as uncharacterized. The transcript is spliced from 3 exons. NCBI's taxonomy places the organism in Eukaryota, Metazoa, Mollusca, Cephalopoda, Octopoda, Octopodidae. The record is from RefSeq and is a predicted model, not a curated record.
CACAAAUAUAUCAAAUCGGACCAUCACAAGUUUAACUGCCCGAGAUGGUUGUGACUUCUGGGACUUGACUGAGGAAAGAAAGCCCCGAAUGAGCCGUCUUUUUUUGCCUGUCCUUCUAAUCGGUGUUUCUCCUGUCCGCCUUUCUAUCGUCUAUCAGUCCGAAUCUUUUAUUGUCUUCUAUUGCGUUUUUUACCAUUUAUAUAUAUAUAUGUGUGUGUGUGUGUGUGUCUAUCUGUCAAUCUAUUUAUAGAUGUUUCUAUUUGU